GCCCUGGUGGCACAACUUUCAAGCCCUUGGCUGCUAACCAAAAAGUUGGUGGUUCGAACCCACCCAGUGGCU
RNAcentral lists this transfer RNA (72 nucleotides) under Loxodonta africana (African savanna elephant). It matches the Rfam family "tRNA". Rfam says of the family: Transfer RNA (tRNA) molecules are approximately 80 nucleotides in length. Their secondary structure includes four short double-helical elements and three loops (D, anti-codon, and T loops). Lineage: Eukaryota; Metazoa; Chordata; Mammalia; Proboscidea; Elephantidae. The record is from Rfam by way of RNAcentral.